CUGUCUCCCUCUGAUGAGACAAGCCUUUCCUGAACUCUUGACCUCAAAUCAGGUAGGAUUACCCGCUGAACUUAAGCAUAUCAAUAAGCGGAGGAAAAGAAACUAACAAGGAUUCCCCUAGUAACUGCGAGUGAAGCGGGAAAAGCUCAAAUUUAAAAUCUGGCAGUCUUUGGCUGUCCGAGUUGUAGUCUGGAGAAGUGCUUUCUGUGCUGGACCGUGUACAAGUCUCCUGGAACGGAGCGUCAUAGAGGGUGAGAAUCCCGUCUUUGACACGGACUCCCAGUGCUGUGUGAUGCGCUCUCAAAGAGUCGAGUUGUUUGGGAAUGCAGCUCUAAAUGGGUGGUGAAUUCCAUCUAAAGCUAAAUAUUGGCGAGAGACCGAUAGCGAACAAGUACCGUGAGGGAAAGAUGAAAAGCACUUUGGAAAGAGAGUUAAACAGUACGUGAAAUUGUUGAAAGGGAAACGCUUGAAGUCAGUCGCGUCGUCCAGGACUCGGCCUUGCACCCACGCUUGGUUUACUUCCUGCUCGACGGGCCAGCAUCAGUUUUGGCUGCCGGACAAUGGCCAGAGAAAUGUGGCACCCUCGGGUGUGUUAUAGUCUCUGGUCGGAUACGGUGGCUGGGACUGAGGACCGCGGCGCUCGCGC
This 646-nucleotide ribosomal RNA is filed under the name Pseudowrightoporia japonica. RNAcentral's name for it is "eukaryotic LSU rRNA". It matches the Rfam family "Eukaryotic large subunit ribosomal RNA", at positions 1 to 607 of the family's 3401-position model. The record is from RNAcentral. Lineage: Eukaryota; Fungi; Basidiomycota; Agaricomycetes; Russulales; Hericiaceae.